Molecule: long non-coding RNA, 498 nt
Filed under: Cicer arietinum (chickpea)
Lineage: Eukaryota; Viridiplantae; Streptophyta; Magnoliopsida; Fabales; Fabaceae
Description: long non-coding RNA (CARI_LNC000518)
Source: RNAcentral
UUCAACAAAAAACAAGUUUGAAGUUAGCCCGAGAAUCCUACAUGCAAACAUAAAAAUUAGUUACUAAGAAAAGAACUCACACUCUUUACAAUUAGAAAUUUCCUUUAGAGUAGACCUAGUUUGUUGGAGUUGUUUGAUUUCCUAGCUCUUAACACUUCUGCCUUUGCUGCAAUGGAUUGAAACUGAGAUUCCUUGAUUUGGUCUCUAUUUUCUCUCAGUACUGUCUUGGACUGUAGACGAUACCAAAGGUAAUUGAAAGGACAUGUACGAGAUCAGACUAGAGUGAAAUAACUUCAUAUGGUUGUUGACAUUGAAAGUUCUUGGGGAGAAAAGGAGGGGAAUGUUGAUGAUGAAUAGUAACAGAAUGAAGAGAAUGUGUUAAGAUGGGAGUGAAAGUGGGGUUGGUGGUAAAAGAAAGGAAAGUGUUGCAUGGGUUGGUUGUACACAUGAGUGAGAGAGAGAAAGAGAAAAGUCACUACGCCAAAAAUGACAUUUAAC